This 433-nucleotide ribosomal RNA is filed under the name uncultured bacterium. Its description in RNAcentral is "partial 16S ribosomal RNA". It matches the Rfam family "Bacterial small subunit ribosomal RNA", at positions 29 to 507 of the family's 1533-position model. The record is from RNAcentral.
AACGAACGCUGGCGGCAUGCCUAACACAUGCAAGUCGAACGAGACCUUCGGGUCUAGUGGCGCACGGGUGCGUAACGCGUGGGAACCUGCCCUUAGGUUCGGAAUAACUCCCCGAAAGGGGUGCUAAUACCGGAUAAUGUCUUCGGACCAAAGAUUUAUCGCCUUUGGAUGGGCCCGCGUUGGAUUAGCUAGUUGGUAGGGUAAAAGCCUACCAAGGCGACGAUCCAUAGCUGGUCUGAGAGGAUGAUCAGCCACACUGGGACUGAGACACGGCCCAGACUCCUACGGGAGGCAGCAGUGGGGAAUAAUGGACAAUGGGCGAAAGCCUGAUCCAGCAAUGCCGCGUGAGUGAUGAAGGCCUUAGGGUUGUAAAGCUCUUUUAACCGGGAUGAUAAUGACAGUACCGGGAGAAUAAGCUCCGGCUAACUCCGUG